GGUUAAGCGACUAAGCGUACACGGUGGAUGCCCUGGCAGUCAGAGGCGAUGAAGGACGUGCUAAUCUGCGAUAAGCGUCGGUAAGGUGAUAUGAACCGUUAUAACCGGCGAUUUCCGAAUGGGGAAACCCAGUGUGUUUCGACACACUAUCAUUACGUGAAUACAUAGCGUAAUGAAGCGAACCGGGGGAACUGAAACAUCUAAGUACCCCGAGGAAAAGAAAUCAACCGAGAUUCCCCCAGUAGCGGCGAGCGAACGGGGAGCAGCCCAGAGUCUGAAUCAGCAUGUGUGUUAGUGGAAGCGUCUGGAAAGUCGCACGAUACAGGGUGAAAGUCCCGUACACAAAAGUGCAUGUGUUGUGAACUCGAAGAGUAGGGCGGGACACGUGGUAUCCUGUCUGAAUAUGGGGGGACCAUCCUCCAAGGCUAAAUACUCCUGACUGACCGAUAGUGAACCAGUACCGUGAGGGAAAGGCGAAAAGAACCCCGGCGAGGGGAGUGAAAAAGAACCUGAAACCGUGUACGUACAAGCAGUGGGAGCACCCUUUGGGGUGUGACUGCGUACCUUUUGUAUAAUGGGUCAGCGACUUAUAUUCUGUAGCA
Molecule: ribosomal RNA, 602 nt
Filed under: Citrobacter sp. Cpo060
Lineage: Bacteria; Pseudomonadati; Pseudomonadota; Gammaproteobacteria; Enterobacterales; Enterobacteriaceae
Also listed under: 1 other name
Description: partial 23S ribosomal RNA
Rfam family: Bacterial large subunit ribosomal RNA
Source: RNAcentral